RNAcentral lists this ribosomal RNA (253 nucleotides) under uncultured bacterium. Its description in RNAcentral is "partial 16S ribosomal RNA". It matches the Rfam family "Bacterial small subunit ribosomal RNA", at positions 524 to 776 of the family's 1533-position model. The record is from RNAcentral.
UACGUAGGGGGCAAGCGUUGUCCGGAAUCAUUGGGCGUAAAGCGCGCGUAGGCGGCCCGGCAAGUCAACGGUGAAAGCUUGGGGCUCAACCCCGAGUCGGCCGUCGAUACUUCCGGGCUGGAGCACUGUAGAGGCAGGUGGAAUUCCGGGUGUAGCGGUGGAAUGCGUAGAGAUCCGGAAGAACACCGGUGGCGAAGGCGGCCUGCUGGGCAGUAGCUGACGCUGAGGCGCGACAGCGUGGGGAGCAAACAGG